CAAUAGCGUAUAUUAAAGUUGUUGCAGUUAAAAAGCUCGUAGUUGGAUUUCUGGUCGGAAGCUCCUGCCCUCUGAUGAGCGUACAAGUGCGUCCUACCAUCCUUCUGUUAACCUUUAAGGCUUUCGCGGCUUUCUAGGGGCUCAGAUAUUUUACCUUGAGAAAAUUAGAGUGUUUCAGGCAGGCUAGCGCCGGAAUACAUUAGCAUGGAAUAAUGGAAUAGGACUUUUGCCUCUUCUGUUGGUCAUGAGGCUCGAGUAAUGAUUAAUAGGGAUAGUUGGGGGCAUUAGUACUUAACUGUCAGAGGUGAAAUUCUCGGAUUUGUUAAAGACUAACUUAUGCGAAAGCAUUUGCCAAGGAUGUUUUCAUUA
RNAcentral lists this ribosomal RNA (369 nucleotides) under uncultured eukaryote. Its description in RNAcentral is "partial 18S ribosomal RNA". It matches the Rfam family "Eukaryotic small subunit ribosomal RNA", at positions 592 to 975 of the family's 1831-position model. The record is from RNAcentral.